GAGAUAUAUUAGCCAUUCCUGUUUCUACUGUGGCAUCUGAGUCAGUUUUUAGCACGGGAGGUCGUGUCCUUGACCCUUAUCGCAGUUGUUUGAGUCCCACCACUAUAGAGGUGUUAAUUUGCACUCAAAAUUGGUUAAAACCUGCUAAGAUAUUGGUUGAGCUUGAUGAAGGAGAUGCCGCUGUUGAUUCAGAAUUUUCUGGAGUUACUAGUGUCGGAGAUCCUGAAGUUCAAAGUAGGAUGCAAUCUCAUCAACCAUCUUAGGAAUGAAUGCUUGCUGAUAUAGUGUCAAUUGGAAGACUGGAAGAGAUGUGUCAAUUGGAAGACUGGAAGAGAUGUGUCAAUUGGAACUUGUUGAGUUGUUGUUUUAGUAUUUUUAGUAUGCUGGGAUUGCUGUUUUAGUAUG
Long non-coding RNA from Arachis stenosperma, 405 nucleotides. RefSeq lists it as uncharacterized. The transcript has 3 exons. The record is from RefSeq and is a predicted model, not a curated record. Lineage: Eukaryota; Viridiplantae; Streptophyta; Magnoliopsida; Fabales; Fabaceae.